Molecule: ribosomal RNA, 492 nt
Filed under: uncultured bacterium
Lineage: Bacteria
Description: partial 16S ribosomal RNA
Rfam family: Bacterial small subunit ribosomal RNA
Source: RNAcentral
AGUGAACGCUGGCGGUAGGCCUAACACAUGCAAGUCGAACGGCAGCACAGUAAGAGCUUGCUCUUACGGGUGGCGAGUGGCGGACGGGUGAGGAAUACAUCGGAAUCUACUUUUUCGUGGGGGAUAACGUAGGGAAACUUACGCUAAUACCGCAUACGACCUACGGGUGAAAGCAGGGGAUCUUCGGACCUUGCGCGAUUGAAUGAGCCGAUGUCGGAUUAGCUAGUUGGCGGGGUAAAGGCCCACCAAGGCGACGAUCCGUAGCUGGUCUGAGAGGAUGAUCAGCCCCACUGGAACUGAGGCACGGUCCAGACUCCUACGGGAGGCAGCAGUGGGGAAUAUUGGACAAUGGGCGCAAGCCUGAUCCAGCCAUACCGCGUGGGUGAAGAAGGCCUUCGGGUUGUAAAGCCCUUUUGUUGGGAAAGAAAAGCAGCAGGUUAAUACCCCGCUGUUCUGACGGUACCCAAAGAAUAAGCACCGGCUAACUUCGUG